Long non-coding RNA from Myotis davidii, 652 nucleotides. RefSeq lists it as uncharacterized. The transcript is spliced from 2 exons. The record is from RefSeq and is a predicted model, not a curated record. Lineage: Eukaryota; Metazoa; Chordata; Mammalia; Chiroptera; Vespertilionidae.
CGCCCUGGAACCGAGCCCGCAGCCUGGCAGGUGCCGGUGACGGAAUAGAACCCAGCACCCCCCAGACCGCAGGCCAACGCUCUAUCCACUGAGCACACCGGCCAGGGCUCCUGAGGCACCUUCUCCGCACAGGUGGUCUCUCCCCCACAGACCUUCAAGCACAGCGUCCCUGAGCAGCCCUGGGUUCCCGCCGCUUCUUUCUCAGGCAGUUCCUUCCGGCCCCACCUGCCCCAGCCCGUCUGCAAGGGGUUAACCGCGGUAGUUCCGACCGAGUCAGCCCAAGGCGCGCCUCUGUGACACGCGGGUUGUUCUGAGUUAGAGGCAACCAAGACUGCAGGCUCAGGAGAACACCACCACCACUCUCAGCCACAGGGAGGAGUUUGAAGUAGGGGGCCUCCCACAGGAAGAGGUUAUCAGCGACAACCCUUUUCACCCAUCCACGGGGCAAGGCAACUGCUAAUUUCCCAGACAUCCAUUAUCGCCCUGCAGUGGCCCGUGGAAGUCCCCAAGCUGUCUUACCUUCCCCCGCUCGAGGUGUCUAUACACCACACUUCCACUUUCUGAACCUCUCAUGUAUGUGGGGGUCUCUGACUCUCUCAUGUAUAUGGGUUUCCCAUACAUAAGUAAUUAAUUGGUCAUUUUCUCCCCCUAA